RNAcentral lists this ribosomal RNA (506 nucleotides) under uncultured bacterium. RNAcentral's name for it is "partial 16S ribosomal RNA". It matches the Rfam family "Bacterial small subunit ribosomal RNA", at positions 29 to 523 of the family's 1533-position model. The record is from RNAcentral.
AGUGAACGCUGGCGGUAGGCCUAACACAUGCAAGUCGAACGGCAGCACAGGAGAGCUUGCUCUCUGGGUGGCGAGUGGCGGAUGGGUGAGGAAUACAUCGGAAUCUACUUUUUCGUGGGGGAUAACGUAGGGAAACUUACGCUAAUACCGCAUACGACCUACGGGUGAAAGCAGGGGACCUUCGGGCCUUGCGCGAUUGAAUGAGCCGAUGUCGGAUUAGCUAGUUGGCGGGGUAAAGGCCCACCAAGGCGACGAUCCGUAGCUGGUCUGAGAGGAUGAUCAGCCACACUGGAACUGAGACACGGUCCAGACUCCUACGGGAGGAAGCAGUGGGGAAUAUUGGACAAUGGGCGCAAGCCUGAUCCAGCCAUACCGCGUGGGUGAAGAAGGCCUUCGGGUUGUAAAGCCCUUUUGUUGGGAAAGAAAUCCAGCUGGCUAAUACCCGGUUGGGAUGACGGUACCCAAAGAAUAAGCACCGGCUAACUUCGUGCCAGCCGCCGCAGUAA